RNAcentral lists this ribosomal RNA (371 nucleotides) under uncultured organism. RNAcentral's name for it is "partial 16S ribosomal RNA". It matches the Rfam family "Bacterial small subunit ribosomal RNA", at positions 527 to 896 of the family's 1533-position model. The record is from RNAcentral.
GUAGGUGGCAAGCGUUGUCCGGAAUUAUUGGGCGUAAAGCGCGCGCAGGCGGUUCUUUAAGUCUGAUGUGAAAGCCCACGGCUCAACCGUGGAGGGUCAUUGGAAACUGGAGAACUUGAGUACAGAAGAGGAAAGCGGAAUUCCACGUGUAGCGGUGGAAUGCGUAGAGAUGUGGAGGAACACCAGUGGCGAAGGCGGCUUUCUGGUCUGUAACUGACGCUGAGGCGCGAAAGCGUGGGGGAGCAAACAGGAUUAGAUACCCUGGUAGUCCACGCCGUAAACGAUGAGUGCUAAGUGUUAGGGGGUUUCCGCCCCUUAGUGCUGCAGCUAACGCAUUAAGCACUCCGCCUGGGAGUACGGCCGCAAGGCUG